GAUGAACGCUGGCGGCGUGCCUAAUACAUGCAAGUCGAGCGAACGGACGAGAAGCUUGCUUCUCUGAUGUUAGCGGCGGACGGGUGAGUAACACGUGGAUAACCUACCUAUAAGACUGGGAUAACUUCGGGAAACCGGAGCUAAUACCGUAUAAUAUUUUGAACCGCAUGGUUCAAAAGUGAAAGACGGUCUUGCUGUCACUUAUAGAUGGAUCCGCGCUGCAUUAGCUAGUUGGUAAGGUAACGGCUUACCAAGGCAACGAUGCAUAGCCGACCUGAGAGGGUGAUCGGCCACACUGGAACUGAGCAACGGUCAAGACUCCUAGGGGGGGAGGCAGUAGGGAAUCUUCGGCAAUGGGCGAAAGCCUGCCGGAGAAACGCGGCGUGAGGGAUGAAGGUCUUCGGAUCGAAAAACUCUGUUAUUAGGGAAGAACAUAUGUGUAAGUAACUGUGCACAUCUUGACGGUACCUAAUCAGAAAGCCACGGCUAACUACGUG
Molecule: ribosomal RNA, 497 nt
Filed under: uncultured bacterium
Lineage: Bacteria
Description: partial 16S ribosomal RNA
Rfam family: Bacterial small subunit ribosomal RNA
Source: RNAcentral